AGUGAACGCUGGCGGUAGGCCUAACACAUGCAAGUCGAACGGCAGCACAGUAAGAGCUUGCUCUUACGGGUGGCGAGUGGCGGACGGGUGAGGAAUACAUCGGAAUCUACUUUUUCGUGGGGGAUAACGUAGGGAAACUUACGCUAAUACCGCAUACGACCUACGGGUGAAAGCAGGGGAUCUUCGGACCUUUCGCGAUUGAAUGAGCCGAUGUCGGAUUAGCUAGUUGGCGGGGUAAAGGCCCAACAAGGCGACGAACCGUAGCGGGUCUGAAGGGAAGGUCAGCCAGACUGGAACAGAGGAACAGUCCAGACUCCUACGGGGGGCCACAGUCGGGAAUAUUAGACAAGGGGGGAGAGCCGGAUACAGGCAUACCGCGUGGGUGAAGAAGGCGCUCGGGUGGGUAAGCCCUUUUGUUGGUAGAGAAAAACAGCAGGUUUAUCCCCCACUAUAAUGACGGUACCCAAAGAAUAAGCACCGGCUAACUUCGUG
RNAcentral lists this ribosomal RNA (492 nucleotides) under uncultured bacterium. Its description in RNAcentral is "partial 16S ribosomal RNA". It matches the Rfam family "Bacterial small subunit ribosomal RNA", at positions 29 to 507 of the family's 1533-position model. The record is from RNAcentral.